RNAcentral lists this ribosomal RNA (253 nucleotides) under uncultured bacterium. RNAcentral's name for it is "partial 16S ribosomal RNA". It matches the Rfam family "Bacterial small subunit ribosomal RNA", at positions 524 to 776 of the family's 1533-position model. The record is from RNAcentral.
UACGUAGGGUGCAAGCGUUGUCCGGAAUCAUUGGGCGUAAAGCGCGCGUAGGUGGCUUCGUAAGUCCGUUGUGAAAGUCAAAGGCUCAACCUUUGAAAGCCGAUGGAUACUGCGGAGCUAGAGUACGGAAGAGGCGAGUGGAAUUCCUGGUGUAGCGGUGGAAUGCGCAGAUAUCAGGAGGAACACCAAUAGCGAAGGCAGGUCUCUGGGCAUUAACUGACGCUGAGGAGCGAAAGCAUGGGGAGCGAACAGG